This 343-nucleotide long non-coding RNA is filed under the name Ananas comosus (pineapple). RNAcentral describes it as "long non-coding RNA (ACOM_LNC034550)". Lineage: Eukaryota; Viridiplantae; Streptophyta; Magnoliopsida; Poales; Bromeliaceae. The record is from RNAcentral.
GUGGGCCGUCGUUGAUCAGACCCACCUUAAUUUAUUGGGCUCAAAUGAUAACGGGCUGAAAUAAAGGCCCCCCCUCACUUUUUUUUUUUUAUUUAUUUGUUUGGGCUUUCGUAAGGGCUUACCCACUCACAUUUCUUUUUUUUUAUUUGUUUGGGCUUUCGUAAGGGCCCACCCACUCACAUUUUUAAAUGGGCUUAUUGUAUAAUAUAAUUAUUGACCCGAGAAAAUUAAUGAUUAAUACGAGACCUAUUAGGAUUGUAUGAACUCGAAUCUAAUCAUUUUUUUAUUAGGAUUAGGAUUGUUUCAACCUAUAUAUAUGUAUGGCAAGUAUUAUUUUACUUCA